This is a long non-coding RNA of Ostrea edulis (European flat oyster), 190 nucleotides long. RefSeq lists it as uncharacterized. The transcript is spliced from 4 exons. NCBI's taxonomy places the organism in Eukaryota, Metazoa, Mollusca, Bivalvia, Ostreida, Ostreidae. The record is from RefSeq and is a predicted model, not a curated record.
UUGACGAAACUAGAGACACUAAACUUGUGUAACAAUAACAUAACAACGUUACCAAAUGGAAUCUUUGAUGCAUUGGCGACGCUACAGAAACUAAACUUGGGUAACAAUAACAUAACAACGUUACCAAAUGGAAUAUUUGAUGCAUUGACGAAGCUACAUAAACUUGGAUUAUAUGAAAACCCUCUACGUU